UUCUCUCUCUGUCCCUCCCCUGCCCACGCUGUGUCUCUCUUUGUCUCUCAAAAAAUAAAACAUUAAAAAAAAUUUAAGAUGCAGUUUAGAAGUGACCUGAUGGUGAAACCUACUCCCGCGUAGAGUUAGUUCCUGCUUUUGUAGUGCUCCCCUUAUUUGAUAUAUGUAUGUUUUUAUUAUAACAUUUAUCAGUAAUUUUUAUUUUAUGUCUCUCACCCUCCAUCUAGAGUGUGAGGUACUUAAGGGCAUGUAGGUGUUAUAAAAGCCUGGAACAUAAUAGAACCCUGACUGAUACACUAUUUAAUAAGUGUUUGCUGAAUGAGUGAAUGAAUUCUCACCUUUACAAUUCUGAGAGUAAAGCACAUUUAGUUCCAGAGUAACAAGAAGAAACUUGACCCUCUCAGGAGCAUCUCUAUUCUUUCUCUCUUGUACUAGAACAAGGCCCUUAAACACGAGAUUGGGGGUAGUAGUACCGUGAGACUAAAUUUAACACAACACUACAGGGAGUGCAGAUUCUUCCCGAGUCAUAUUUGUCAUCUCUCUCCUUUCCUGUCUGUUCCAAUUGCCACCAAUCCAGUUCACCCCAUCCGCCUCUACUAGCGUUAUCGUCACGGCCGGCUGAGUCUGCUGCCUCCAGGCUCUGCUGAUCUAAAGGUCUUAGUUCCACAGAGAGGAAUGCUUCUAUUGAGUGACACAACAAUGAUUCCAUUGAACUGGAAGCUGAGACUGUCAUCUUGCCACUAUGGGCUCCUUACACCACUGAAUUAACAAGGAAUGGAAGAGU
Molecule: long non-coding RNA, 784 nt
Organism: Leopardus geoffroyi (Geoffroy's cat)
Lineage: Eukaryota; Metazoa; Chordata; Mammalia; Carnivora; Felidae
Exons: 3
Source: RefSeq, a predicted model, not a curated record